Molecule: ribosomal RNA, 450 nt
Filed under: uncultured bacterium
Lineage: Bacteria
Description: partial 16S ribosomal RNA
Rfam family: Bacterial small subunit ribosomal RNA
Source: RNAcentral
CCUACGGGAGGCAGCAGUAAGGAAUAUUGGUCAAUGGACGAAAGUCUGAACCAGCCAUGCCGCGUGGAGGAUGAAGGUCCUCUGGAUUGUAAACUUCUUUUAUAUGGGACGAAAAAAGGCCUUUCUAGGCCGUCUGACGGUACCAUAUGAAUAAGCACCGGCUAACUCCGUGCCAGCAGCCGCGGUAAUACGGAGGGUGCAAGCGUUAUCCGGAUUCACUGGUGCUAAAGGGGGUUGAUAAGGGUGGAGUGAAAUCUCCGAGCUUAACUUGGAAACUGCCAUUGAUACUAUUAAUCUUGAAUAUUGUGGAGGUUAGCGGAAUAUGUCAUGUAGCGGUGAAAUGCUUAGAUAUGACAUAGAACACCAAUUGCGAAGGCAGCUGGCUACACAUAUAUUGACACUGAGGCACGAAAGUGUGGGGAUCAAACAGGAUUAGAUACCCUGGUAGUC